UUUUAAAUCAAACAUUUAAUAUUUUAAAUUUUCAAUUUUACUAUCUAAUUUUUUAUUUAUUUAAUAUGAAUCCGUCAACCACAGUUCGUUUUUAAAAUUCAAAUGCAUCGUUUAUCUCAUAUAUUUAGUUAGUAUAUUUUAUAUAAUUUAUCUUUGCAGGUUUAGUUAGUAUAUUCUAUACAAUUCUCACAAUUAUAAAUUUAUUAAAGUAAAAAAUAAAUUAGCUCAAAUUUUGGAGUCGAAGUGUUAUUAACUGACUCAUAUCAAAUAAAUUGAAAGAUUGAAUAACAAAAUCAAUUUUUGAAAGUAGUAAGUUCAAAAUAGUUUAUAAUUAAUGUAAGUUCAAUACAUUUUUUACCAAAAUAAAAUCUAAAGACUCCCUAAAUGUUUUUAUAAAUAAACAUUGAACUUUUAAUGUUGAUAA
RNAcentral lists this long non-coding RNA (424 nucleotides) under Ananas comosus (pineapple). Its description in RNAcentral is "long non-coding RNA (ACOM_LNC003061)". Lineage: Eukaryota; Viridiplantae; Streptophyta; Magnoliopsida; Poales; Bromeliaceae. The record is from RNAcentral.